GCAGUCGAGCGAACAGAUAAGGAGCUUGCUCCUUUGACGUUAGCGGCGGACGGGUGAGUAACACGUGGAUAACCUACCUAUAAGACUGGGAUAACUUCGGGAAACCGGAGCUAAUACCGGAUAACAUAUUGAACCGCAUGGUUCAAUAGUGAAAGGCGGCUUUGCUGUCACUUAUAGAUGGAUCCGCGCCGUAUUAGCUAGUUGGUAAGGUAACGGCUUACCAAGGCAACGAUACGUAGCCGACCUGAGAGGGUGAUCGGCCACACUGGAACUGAGACACGGUCCAGACUCCUACGGGAGGCAGCAGUAGGGAAUCUUCCGCAAUGGGCGAAAGCCUGACGGAGCAACGCCGCGUGAGUGAUGAAGGUCUUCGGAUCGUAAAACUCUGUUAUCAGGGAAGAACAAAUGUGUAAGUAACUGUGCACAUCUUGACGGUACCUGAUCAGAAAGCCACGGCUAACUACGUGCCAGCAGCCGCGGUAAUACGUAGGUGGCAAGCGUUAUCCGGAAUUAUUGGGCGUAAAGCGCGCGUAGGCGGUUUUUUAAGUCUGAUGUGAAAGCCCACGGCUCAACCGUGGAGGGUCAUUGGAAACUGGAAAACUUGAGUGCAGAAGAGGAAAGUGGAAUUCCAUGUGUAGCGGUGAAAUGCGCAGAGAUAUGGAGGAACACCAGUGGCGAAGGCGACUUUCUGGUCUGUAACUGACGCUGAUGUGCGAAAGCGUGGGGAUCAAACAGGAUUAGAUACCCUGGUAGUCCACGCCGUAAACGAUGAGUGCUAAGUGUUAUGGGGUUUCCGCCCCUUAGUGCUGCAGCUAACGCAUUAAGCACUCCGCCUGGGGAGUACGACCGCAAGGUUGAAACUCAAGGAAUUGACGGGGACCCGCACAAGCGGUGGAGCAUG
RNAcentral lists this ribosomal RNA (901 nucleotides) under Staphylococcus warneri. RNAcentral describes it as "bacterial SSU rRNA". It matches the Rfam family "Bacterial small subunit ribosomal RNA", at positions 57 to 941 of the family's 1533-position model. The record is from RNAcentral. Lineage: Bacteria; Bacillati; Bacillota; Bacilli; Caryophanales; Staphylococcaceae.